RNAcentral lists this ribosomal RNA (324 nucleotides) under uncultured Bacillota bacterium. RNAcentral describes it as "bacterial SSU rRNA". It matches the Rfam family "Bacterial small subunit ribosomal RNA", at positions 28 to 351 of the family's 1533-position model. The record is from RNAcentral. Lineage: Bacteria; Bacillati; Bacillota.
GACGAACGCUGGCGGCGUGCUUAACACAUGCAAGUUGAACGGGGAUAUUGUUUUCGGACGAUAUCCUAGUAGCGGACGGGUGAGUAACGCGUGAGCAACCUACCUUUGUGAGGGGGACAACAGCUGGAAACGGCUGCUAAUACCGCAUAAGGCCACGACCUCGAUUGAGGAUGUGGUAAAAGAUUUAUCGCACAAAGAUGGGCUCGCGUCCCAUUAGCUAGUUGGUGAGGUAACGGCCCACCAAGGCGACGAUGGGUAGCCGACCUGAGAGGGUGAUCGGCCACACUGGAACUGAGACACGGUCCAGACUCCUACGGGAGGCUG